UCCUCUCACUUCUUCAUGUGAAAUAGAGAGGCUUUAUUUCCUUACAGAGAAGCCAGAUUCCUUCAGGAGAGAUGUCUUGUUUCCUGAUCUCACGCAGUGGAGCAUAAGGUUGAUCUAUUGGCUUCAAUGGGACAUCUUCUAAAUGGCAUGCUGGAAAUUGGAAAGCUCAUCUCUGUUCAGCAGCAAAGAGUUGCCUUGUGUUUGCAAUAACUUAACUAGGUCUAAGGGUUGUUGUGAGGAUUACAUGAGUUACUAAGCAUGUAGUGCUUAAAACAAGGCCCCACCCAGAGCAAGAACUAAAUAAAUAUCAUCUGUCCCAAGAUCACAUUGUGUUUGGAUAUAGUCCUUGCAGCUGCCUGGGUGUCUCCUCCAGGAUCUUACCGAACCUAAAACAUGAAGCUCAGAUUAGCCUCUCCUCCGGUUUUACACAGGGUAGUUUCUGUCCAUUUCAUAAGGCCCUGAGAAGCAGAGAUCCUGCUCUAGUUUUGUCAAAGAAUCUCCACUUUCUCCCUAAGAUGUGCCCAGUAAAUCUGCAGACAUGCCUGUUUGUGCAGACUGUUUUUGUUUUUGCAAAACUGGAUACACAACGAGGGAAGAGGGUGACCUGGAGACGGAAAUGCCUUAAAAAUGUCCGAGGGUGUCUCUAUCCUGUACACCUGAAAUGCAGCCCAGGCCAAACUGGAUUUUAUUGGAACUUUUGUUGAUGCAGAUUAAACGUUAGAGAAACACGGGGAGAGAGGCUUUGAAAAAGUAUACUGGGCAGGAUGGUUCUGAGAAUUUGGGGCACACCGUUGGCUCAGGUAUCUGAUUGGCCAGCUGGAUAGCAGGAUGCUGCCUGGGCCCAGGGGUCACCUGAGGGCUGUCUCUCCCCUUGAAAGAGAAGCCUGGAUGCAUAUAGGGAUGACACAUACCAGGACUGACCCAGAUGGUCCAGGUGGCCUCAGCACAGAGGUGGAUACAGGCAGAGCGGGGACUGUUCAUACCCCUGAUUCCCUCGGACCCCUUCCGCCUGACUCCACCUUGUCCUUGGCAGUUUCCUUGUGCACAUCCAGACUCAAAGGAGAGAUCACCCACUGAAGACUGGGUCUCCAAGCUCCAGCAAAGAUGCUUAUCCCAGAUGUAGUGGGUACUCUCAGGCUACACAUGAGAAAACAGGCCCAAGAGUGGGAAGGGCUCACCCAUAGCACAUGGGACUCAGAGGCAGAGUGAAGGAAGAAGAGGUCUGGCCUCACUAGGGUCUCCUGGCAUCACUUAGGGAGCCACUGUGGGCCAGGCCAGUCCAUGGGAGCCCAUUGAACAUGGCGGACUGCCUUAAAAAACAUCCUCGGAGUUCCCAUGGUGGCUCAGUGAUAAUGAAUCUGAGUAGUAUCUAGGAAGAUGCAGGUACAAGCCCUGGACUCACUCCAUGGGUUAAGGACCUGGCUUUGCCAUGAGCUGUGGUGUAAGUUGCAGACACGGCUCAGAUCCCACAUUGCUGUGGCUGUGGCAUAGGCUGGUAGCUGUAGCUGUGAUUCAACCCCUAGCCUGGGACCUUCCAUAUGCUGAGGGUGUGGCCCUAAAAAACAAACAAACAAACAAAAAUCCUCACCUCUCUUCCAACAGAUGCUGGUGUCUCCAAACCAUGAGAAAAAAAAAUGUGUGUCCAUUUCUCAUAUUUAUCAAAGCAAGUAGCUCUUAGUGUUUUCAUCUUCUUCCCAGAUAACCCUGGCUAUGUCCACGUUGCGUGAGGUGGCCUUUGGGCUCCUUCUAACACCUUCCUGCCAACCCAGACUCUCCUUGUCUGACCAGCCCACUGCCUAUCCCAAAGAGCAUCCUUGCUGCAAAUGGGCCCCUGGGUUAACCUAGGUGGAGAGCUGAAAUCAUAGUCCUGCUUAUGGCUGUGCCCUGCUCAUCUGGUCCCACCCCUUACCAGUAAGCAUCCUGGGUUUCACCUGGUGGGGGCAUGCUUAGGGGAAUAGGACUGUACCACACUUCAGACCCCUGAUGGAGGAGGAUAUGACCCAGACACCCUCAUUCUCAUCAAACCCAACCAGAGGCAUUUCAUUUACAGAAAAUUUGCCAACCAAUUUGUUCGAGCUUAUUUGGCCUCCUGUCCCACAAAAGACCUUGCCAGAUAUCCAGAACUGUCUGGCACAAGUCUUGGGAGGAAUGAUGGACGUGUUACACCAUGGUGGUGGUGCCUUAGACCAUGCCUUUUAGUCUUUAUAACAAUCUACUGAAGUAGAGUUUACUGAAUAUGCCCACUAUGGAGAGUUUAAUUGCGUCUUGGAGAUGUUAAGACCUUUGACCAAGUGUCAAUUGCAGUGAGUUAAGUGGUGAAGUCUGGGACUCUGCCAGCGCCCUACCUGAGUGCUUUCAGCUCUUCUCUUGCAGAAGUGAGGUGGGAGCUGGGCAGGCACAGGGAAAGGGCAAGAAAAAGCAUUAGUGGUGGUAGAAGAUGGAGCUUUUCAAAUUGUCCUUCCCAAUGUCCUAGGCUUUGCCUUGGGUACCAUUUUGAGGUUCAAAGGAAGCCAGAGUCCUUCUCUGCUUCUCAUCAAAAAUGAUACACUUUUUCAUUGAAUCUGUAUUUUGGAAAAGAGGGCGUAAGAGUGAGAGAGAGAAGGAAAGGAAGUGAGAGCCAGAUCAGGAAGGGCAGAAUCCUCAGUCUGGGCUUAUUUUAGGACAUUAGGUUGUAUAAUUUAAGGCAGACCCGAAGAGUCUGCUCGCUAGACAAUGUCUGUCUCAUGGCUUCAGUUCAACAAUUUUAACAUAAACCAUGGAGUGCUUUAAUCUAUUUCUUUUCUUUUUCUUUUUCUUUUUUUUUUUUUUUUUAAAUCUGGGGUGGCAAAGCCCAACCCCAGCAUGCAUCCCAGCUUCAGCUAAAACAAGCACUUCUUUGAUUCUCUCUCAGUCUUCCCAAGAUGUUGUGACUUCCAAGGAUGCAGACAAGGUGGUAAGAGUCACAGCAGAGGCAACCUCAAGGGGCCUCGGCUCUGGCCUGGCUUCCAGGGAGAGAACGGUCCUGUGGGUACCAGCUUACCUUUCUACCCUAGUGCUAGUGACACCCACGAGAGCACGUGGCUUCUAGCUGAGGGCCAGUUGCAUUCUAAAGGUUCAGCUCAUGGAAUUCCCUGGCGGCUCAGUGGGUUAAGGAUCUGGCAUUGUCACCGCUGUGGCUUGGUUACUGCUGUGCCUCUGGUUCAAUCCCUGG
This 3190-nucleotide long non-coding RNA is filed under the name Sus scrofa (pig). Its description in RNAcentral is "lncRNA (ENSSSCG00000060352.1)". The record is from RNAcentral. Lineage: Eukaryota; Metazoa; Chordata; Mammalia; Artiodactyla; Suidae.